RNAcentral lists this ribosomal RNA (671 nucleotides) under Nostocales cyanoacterium DS_2B_I1. RNAcentral describes it as "bacterial SSU rRNA". It matches the Rfam family "Bacterial small subunit ribosomal RNA", at positions 99 to 808 of the family's 1533-position model. Lineage: Bacteria; Bacillati; Cyanobacteriota; Cyanophyceae; Nostocales. The record is from RNAcentral.
CGGACGGGUGAGUAACGCGUGAGAAUCUAGCUCUAGGUCGGGGACAACCACUGGAAACGGUGGCUAAUACCGGAUGUGCCGAAAGGUGAAAGAUUUAUUGCCUAGAGAUGAGCUCGCGUCUGAUNAGCUAGUUGGUGUGGUAAGAGCGCACCAAGGCGACGAUCAGUAGCUGGUCUGAGAGGAUGAUCAGCCACACUGGGACUGAGACACGGCCCAGACUCCUACGGGAGGCAGCAGUGGGGAAUUUUCCGCAAUGGGCGAAAGCCUGACGGAGCAAUACCGCGUGAGGGAGGAAGGCUCUUGGGUUGUAAACCUCUUUUCUCAGGGAAUAAGAAAGUGAAGGUACCUGAGGAAUAAGCAUCGGCUAACUCCGUGCCAGCAGCCGCGGUAAUACGGAGGAUGCAAGCGUUAUCCGGAAUGAUUGGGCGUAAAGCGUCCGCAGGUGGCACUGUAAGUCUGCUGUUAAAGAGCAAGGCUCAACCUUGUAAAGGCAGUGGAAACUACAGAGCUAGAGUACGUUCGGGGCAGAGGGAAUUCCUGGUGUAGCGGUGAAAUGCGUAGAGAUCAGGAAGAACACCGGUGGCGAAAGCGCUCUGCUAGGCCGUAACUGACACUGAGGGACGAAAGCUAGGGGAGCGAAUGGGAUUAGAUACCCCUGAGUUCCCUAAACA